RNA transcript from Fukomys damarensis (Damara mole-rat), 2109 nucleotides. It is a transcript of the gene named RNA-binding protein 4B, with no coding region annotated. The transcript is spliced from 5 exons. NCBI's taxonomy places the organism in Eukaryota, Metazoa, Chordata, Mammalia, Rodentia, Bathyergidae. The record is from RefSeq and is a predicted model, not a curated record.
UUUUCUCCCUGUUCAGAAACAUGAAACACAGUUAGUGCUACUCAAACGGGCCUCAUCUUGAGAUGUUCGCUAUGUUGUGCAUGCUGACCUUCGACCUCCUGUUGGCACUAUACUCUUUAAGAACAAACCGAUCUUCCUCUGUCAAGAAUAAUGAACGUCUGUGUGAAGGCUUUGAAGGCUCUCGUCAGGAUGGUGAAGCUGUUCAUCGGAAACCUGCCCCGGGAGGCCACAGAGCAAGAGAUCCGCUCACUGUUUGAGCAGUAUGGGAAGGUGCUGGAAUGUGACAUCAUUAAGAACUAUGGCUUUGUGCACAUAGAGGACAAGACAGCGGCCGAGGAUGCCAUCCGUAACCUGCACCACUACAAGCUGCACGGGGUGAACAUCAACGUAGAAGCCAGCAAGAAUAAGAGCAAAGCUUCAACCAAGUUACACGUGGGCAACAUCAGUCCCACUUGUACCAACCAAGAGCUUCGGGCCAAGUUUGAGGAGUAUGGUCCAGUCAUCGAAUGUGACAUCGUGAAAGAUUAUGCCUUUGUACACAUGGAGCGGGCAGAAGAUGCAGUGGAGGCCAUCAGAGGCCUUGACAACACAGAAUUUCAAGGCAAAAGAAUGCAUGUGCAGUUGUCAACCAGCCGGCUUCGGACUGCUCCUGGAAUGGGAGACCAGAGUGGCUGCUAUCGGUGUGGAAAAGAGGGACACUGGUCCAAAGAGUGCCCAGUAGACCGUACAGGGCGUGUGGCAGACUUUACUGAGCAGUACAAUGAACAGUAUGGAGCAGUACGCACACCCUACACCAUGGGCUAUGGGGAAUCCAUGUAUUAUAAUGAUGCAUAUGGAGCACUCGACUACUAUAAGCGCUACCGGGUCCGCUCUUAUGAAGCAGUAGCGGCAGCAGCUGCUGCUUCUGCAUACAACUAUGCAGACCAAACCAUGUCUCAUCUGCCUCAAGUCCAGAGCUCAGCUGUAACCAGUCACCUCAAUUCCACUUCUGUUGACCCCUAUGACAGACACCUGUUGCCGAACUCUGGCGCUGCUGCCACCUCUGCUAUGGCUGCCGCCGCUGCCACCUCUUCCUCCUAUUAUGGAAGGGACAGGAGCCCACUGCGUCGUGCUGCAGCUGUGCUCCCCACAGUUGGAGAGGGCUACGGUUAUGGGCCAGAGAGUGAGCUGUCUCAGGCUUCAGCAGCUGCACGGAAUUCCCUGUAUGACAUGGCCCGAUAUGAACGGGAGCAGUAUGUGGACCGAGCACGUUACUCAGCCUUUUAAAAACUGGAGGUGUGAACCUCAAAUGGACUGAAUAACCCUGAGUUGGUUGCAGUCCCAGGAGCCUGAUGUUAAUGAGGCUGCCAGGAUGAAAUACAACACAACUGUUGGGGAUCCAAAUUCGGGUCUCACCCUAGCAGAACUGAUCAAGAACGUCACAACUUUUGAAGUCGAUUGGCACAGAUCAAGACCAAGAUUUGGCCCUUUGUCUGUAAUAAGUAGAGGAACUUGGUGACGGGACCAGGGCCCUUGUACUCGGAGCCAGGCUGCUCUCCAGGCAUUGUGUAAGCCUCUUGUGUUGUGCUCUCUUUCAGGUAGGAUAAUUGCGGACUGAACCCUCGGGCUGCGGUCAUAAAUGAGAACUUGCUUCGCGCGGUCCCUUUUGCCGGGAUGUUUCCAUUGCUUCAUGUUUCAGUAAACAAAGGAGUUUGUGACCAACUAUGUUUUCUUUCUUAAUUUAAUUCUUCUAAGUUGACUUUUCUUUCCUCUUUAUAUUAGUGUCUGUAGCCUUUCAAUCUGUUCCUUAUAUUCUCAGCCUCUGAGCAGCCCUGGGUAAGGAUUAUGCUGGCAUCCCUUUUCCUGUACAGUGGAACCCCUCUUUAUCUUGCUUUUCCUUAGGAGUUGAACCCUUCUCCCUGCCUACCUGCAGCACCUUUUCCCUUUAAAAUGACCAUGUAGUAGCAAGCAGCCUUUUCUCUGUUAAAUCUGGACUCUAACAGUGAAGCUACUCUUUUGAAGUUGCUAGGACCAUUGGGGGUUUUGUUGUUUUGUUUUUUUGUCUGACCUGUGAUCGUGAUACAGCAUUAGCUGAAAUUUAGCCUUGUUUUCUCCACUUUUUUUUUUUUU